UACAGAGGGUGCGAGCGUUAAUCGGAAUUACUGGGCGUAAAGCGCACGCAGGUGGCUGAGUCAGUCGAUUGUGAAAGCCCUGGGCUUAACCUGGGAAUUGCAGUCGAUACUACUCAGCUAGAGUAUGGGAGAGGGUAGUGGAAUUCCCGGUGUAGCGGUGAAAUGCGUAGAGAUCGGGAAGAAGGCCGGUGGCGAAGGCGGCUCUCUGGAACGUUCCUGACACUGAGGCACGAAAGCGUGGGGAGCAAACAGG
Molecule: ribosomal RNA, 253 nt
Filed under: uncultured bacterium
Lineage: Bacteria
Description: partial 16S ribosomal RNA
Rfam family: Bacterial small subunit ribosomal RNA
Source: RNAcentral